This 339-nucleotide ribosomal RNA is filed under the name uncultured bacterium. RNAcentral describes it as "bacterial SSU rRNA". It matches the Rfam family "Bacterial small subunit ribosomal RNA", at positions 1 to 334 of the family's 1533-position model. The record is from RNAcentral.
GUACUACUCUCAGAGUUUGAUCCUGGCUCAGGACGAACGCUGGCGGCGUGCCUAACACAUGCAAGUCGAACGGGGUGAUUUCCUUCGGGAGAUCACUUAGUGGCGAACGGGUGAGUAACGCGUGAGAAACCUGCCUUUCAGUGGGGGACAACAGUUGGAAACGACUGCUAAUACCGCAUAACGUAUCGAGAGGGCAUCCUCUUGAUACCAAAGCUUUAUGUGCUGAAAGAUGGUCUCGCGUCUGAUUAGCUAGAUGGCGGGGUAACGGCCCACCAUGGCGACGAUCAGUAGCCGGUCUGAGAGGAUGAACGGCCACAUUGGGACUGAGAUACGGCCCAG